GUGUGUUCGUCGAGUGUGUCUGUCGAGUGUGUUCGUCGAGUGUGUUCGUGUGUACGAACGCCCCAGACCCCUGCGGAGUCUCACGAACCUGCCUGGCCGUUUGUGCAGGAGCGCUCGUGAGGAGGACCCCGCCGACGCGCGCCGCACCAGCCCGAGGGUCGAGUGGGACUCCGCCCCUUCCCUCGGUUCAGCGCAAGGCGCCGUGGUUUUGUUCUUUGGAUUUUUGACCUUUUUUCCCUGACGUACUUUUGUUUUUGUAAAUAAACUGUUUUCCCCUUGUCACCCCGCCAUCCGUCAUUUUUCCCAAGCAAGACUCCGGCGUGACACAGACAAUGAACUGCAAUUUUUUCAGGUGUUUUCAUGGGGUGAACCUAGUGGGUAACACACCAGAAGACCCAGGUUCAAAUCUCACUUAAUCCCAUGUGUCUCUGAGCAUGAUACUUAACCCUAAAUUGCUUUGGGUUGACUGUCCCUGUUAUUACUAAUGUAAGCUGCUCUGGAUAAGGGUGACUGAUAAAUACUUUAAAUGUAAAUGUAAGUGUCAGUACAGAAUCUUAGUAUCCUUCUAACAUUGCUGUUUUACCGAGUUUGUUCUUCUAGUUGGAGAGGCUAUGGAUUCUACUAAAAUGCAUUGUGCAAUGUCCAGCGUAGCAGUAACAGAUUGCAGGGUAGUGAUUAAAUAAGCAACAACAGUGAACAUUUAGAUAGUUGGGGUGUGAGGUGUGGUGACUUGUCCUGGUGUUGUUUUCAAGGUUACCCCUUUAAAAAAAAAAUCGGCUAAUUUGUCAGCGCACCAACUUACGUAAAAUAGGACACACCAUGCAACAUGUAGUGUAUAAAACCCACAGUUUGAGAAAAUGUGUGACUUAUUUUCGAGGGAAGGGUGAAUGUUCAGUGUUAAUCCUUCACUGAAUGUACUGUGGGGGAUCACUCACUGAGCCCAAUUUACCAAGUAGACCAGUUAAAUAGCAUUCCACAGGACAGGAUGCUUGAAAGAUCAUGAUUUCUAAAAAGUUUAUUUUUACAAAUGUGUUUGUUAAAUGAACACAGACACAAUACACAACACUCGGUUCAGGAAGUUGCAGGCUCCUCCUGCCAAGCACUGAAUUCAGGG
Molecule: long non-coding RNA, 1114 nt
Organism: Denticeps clupeoides (denticle herring)
Lineage: Eukaryota; Metazoa; Chordata; Actinopteri; Clupeiformes; Denticipitidae
Source: Ensembl